UACGGAGGAUGCAAGCGUUAUCCGGAUUUAUUGGGUUUGAAGGGUGCGUAGGCGGGAAGAUAAGUCAGUGGUGAAAUCCUGCAGCUUAACUGUAGAAUUGCCGUUGAUACUAUUUUCUUGAGUGUGGUCAAGGAAGGCGGAAUGUGUAAUGUAGCGGUGAAAUGCUUAGAUAUUACACAGAACACCGAUUGCGAAGGCAGCUUUCUGGGCCGUUACUGACGCUGAUGCACGAAAGCGUGGGGAUCGAACAGGAUUAGAUA
Molecule: ribosomal RNA, 260 nt
Filed under: uncultured prokaryote
Description: partial 16S ribosomal RNA
Rfam family: Bacterial small subunit ribosomal RNA
Source: RNAcentral